This is a non-coding RNA of Fukomys damarensis (Damara mole-rat), 156 nucleotides long. The record is from Ensembl. NCBI's taxonomy places the organism in Eukaryota, Metazoa, Chordata, Mammalia, Rodentia, Bathyergidae.
CUCCAAGGUCCUAAGUGCAAGCCCUGAUGAGCCCACAGUAUUUUUCUUACAUGAUCAGGCCCCAUGAUCACAUAUAUGGUCAGGUGGUGCUGCUUGCUAGGAGCCCGAGACGAUUAUGAAAACAUGGCAGGAGAAGUGGGGUCAGAGGAUAUGGUA